GUAACGCAUAGACAACCUGCCCCGGACACGGGGAUAACGGCUGGAAACGGUCGCUAAUACCCGAUGAGGCCACGGUCGCAUGUCCUGUGGUUAAAGUUGGGGAUCUUUCGGGACCUUUCGGUCCGGGAGGGGUCUAUGUCCUAUCAGCUUGUUGGUGGGGUAACGGCCUACCAAGGCGAUGACGGGCAGGAGGCUUGAGAGGGUGCCCUCCCACACUGGGACUGAGACACUGCCCAGACUCCUACGGGAGGCUUGCAGUCGAGAAUCAUUCACAAUGGGCGAAAGCCUGAUGAUGCGACGCCGCGGGGAGGAUGAAGGCCUUCGGGUUGUAAACUCCUGUCAGAGGUUAACAAAAGCCCCGUUCGCUAAUACCGGUCGGGUUUUGACGUAAGCCUCACAGGAAGCUCCGGCUAAAUCCGAGAGCAGCAGCCGAGGUAAGACC
Molecule: ribosomal RNA, 442 nt
Filed under: uncultured Verrucomicrobiales bacterium
Lineage: Bacteria; Pseudomonadati; Verrucomicrobiota; Verrucomicrobiia; Verrucomicrobiales
Description: bacterial SSU rRNA
Rfam family: Bacterial small subunit ribosomal RNA
Source: RNAcentral